Molecule: ribosomal RNA, 428 nt
Filed under: uncultured bacterium
Lineage: Bacteria
Description: bacterial SSU rRNA
Rfam family: Bacterial small subunit ribosomal RNA
Source: RNAcentral
UCGAGAAUUUUUCACAAUGGGGGAAACCCUGAUGGAGCGACGCCGCGUGGGGGAUGAAUGGCUUCGGCCCGUAAACCCCUGUCAUUUGUGAACAAUGCGUCCAUUAAAACAUAUAGGACGUUGAUAGUAGCAGAAGAGGAAGGGACGGCUAACUCUGUGCCAGCAGCCGCGGUAAUACAGAGGUCCCAAGCGUUGUUCGGAUUUACUGGGCGUAAAGGGUGCGUAGGCGGUUAAGUAAGUUUGAAGUGAAAGCUCCAAGCUUAACUUGGAAAUUGCUUCAUAUACUAUUUAGCUAGAGGGCCGGAGAGGAGACUGGAAUUCUCGGUGUAGCAGUGAAAUGCGUAGAUAUCGAGAGGAACAUCAGUGGCGAAAGCGGGUCUCUGGACGGCAUCUGACGCUGAGGCACGAAAGCUAGGGUAGCAAACGGG